AUCUUCGAGGCAGGGUUUGAUUCCCGACCGGCGGUACAGUCCGCAAGCCUUUCUCCAAGGGCACGAUCCGGUGCGAUUCCGGAACCGACAGUAUAGUCUGGAUGGUAGAAGAC
This 113-nucleotide non-coding RNA is filed under the name bovine gut metagenome. RNAcentral's name for it is "FMN riboswitch (RFN element)". It matches the Rfam family "FMN riboswitch aptamer (RFN element)". From Rfam's summary of the family: The RFN element is a highly conserved domain that is found frequently in the 5'-untranslated regions of prokaryotic mRNAs that encode for flavin mononucleotide (FMN) biosynthesis and transport proteins. The record is from RNAcentral.